This 497-nucleotide ribosomal RNA is filed under the name uncultured bacterium. RNAcentral describes it as "partial 16S ribosomal RNA". It matches the Rfam family "Bacterial small subunit ribosomal RNA", at positions 28 to 507 of the family's 1533-position model. The record is from RNAcentral.
GAUGAACGCUGGCGGCAUGCUUAAUACAUGCAAGUCGGACGAACAGACGUGGAUCUUGCUCCUGACGGGUGAGCAACGCGCAGGUAAGUGACACGUGGAUGACCACCCUAGAUGGAAGGGGCUACUUAUAGCACCCGGACCUAGUACCGGAUGAUAUAAUGAACCGCAGGGGUCGCUAGUGAAAGAUGGGCUUGCUGUUGAUUCUAGAUGUAACCGCGCCGAAGGAGGUAGUUGGUAAGGUGAGGGCUUACCAAGGCAACGAUACGUAGCCGACCUGAGAGGGUGAUCGGCCACACUGGAACUGAGACACGGUCCAGACGCCUACGGGAGGCAGCAGUAGGGAAUCUUCGGCAAUGGGCGAAAGCCUGACGGAGCAACGCCGCGUGAGUGAUGAAGGUCUUCGGAUCGUAAAACUCUGUGAUUAGGGAAGAACAAAUGUGUAAGUAACUGUGCACGUCUUGACGGUACCUAAUCAGAAAGCCACGGCUAACUACGUG